RNAcentral lists this transfer RNA (98 nucleotides) under Ewingella americana. RNAcentral's name for it is "tRNA-Thr(ggt)". Lineage: Bacteria; Pseudomonadati; Pseudomonadota; Gammaproteobacteria; Enterobacterales; Yersiniaceae. The record is from RNAcentral.
UGGAGAUGUAGCGCGGAUUGAGCGGCGCGAGGGUGCGGGUGUCAUACCAGUUAUAGAGGUGGCCGCGAUAGUGCUCGAGCUUGUCCAGCGUAUCCAGC